Long non-coding RNA from Solanum dulcamara, 694 nucleotides. RefSeq lists it as uncharacterized. NCBI's taxonomy places the organism in Eukaryota, Viridiplantae, Streptophyta, Magnoliopsida, Solanales, Solanaceae. The transcript is spliced from 4 exons. The record is from RefSeq and is a predicted model, not a curated record.
CUUGAGUUCUCUCACUGGCUAUUUUCCACGACCUCGUCUCUCUCAUCGCGGUUCUCUCACCAUCGCAAUUUAAGAUUUUAAUUUUCUUGAGAAUCUCCAGAACUCUCACUUUUGGUUCAGAACAAGGGAAAAAACACUGCCAGCAUUUCUAUUACGGCUCCUAAAUUUGUAAAACUGAAACAUAACAAAAUUGAACUCCAGGGGAAGGAAAACAAGAAGGCAGCUAAUAUCGAAGGCGAAGCUUUUGGGGUUCACGAUGGUUCAUUCCAACUGGUGAAGUAAUUUUUCAGUUUAGGACGUGGCAAGUGCAGUGGAUGUUUAAUUGAGAGAUUUCUUUUGCUUUAAACUGCCAAUCUACUCAAUCUUCGAAAGAAAUGGAAGCAAUGAGAAGACAAAUUUCAGAGCUGACGAAUGACUUAAAACAUCUGAAACUAACUUUGAUAGAGUGCAGAAGUUCAUGGAGAAACAUAUGGCUGAAUAUGAUGAUGGUGAAGAAGAGACUGACUCUGAUGAAGAGUAGAUUGUUUCUGGCUAUUUAGACAUUUUCUAUGAGAUUUAGAUUUGUUUUAAACUAUUUAGUUCCGUUUUGAAUAACAACUGAAUACUUAUUAGAUUUAAUUUUGAUGAUGCUUGAACUUUUAGACUCAAUUAUAUUGAAUGGAAUUUGAAUGUUUAGGAAUGUAUUUGAUGUUUG